RNAcentral lists this ribosomal RNA (328 nucleotides) under uncultured eukaryote. RNAcentral describes it as "partial 18S ribosomal RNA". It matches the Rfam family "Eukaryotic small subunit ribosomal RNA", at positions 1470 to 1796 of the family's 1831-position model. The record is from RNAcentral.
CCCUUAGAUGUUCUGGGCCGCACGCGCGCUACACUGACUACUUCAACGAGUUGUUUCCUUGAUCGAAAGGUCUGGGUAAUCUUUGAAAGGUAGUCGUGAUGGGGAUAGAUCCUUGCAAUUUUUGAUCUUCAACGAGGAAUUCCUAGUAAACGCAAGUCAUCAGCUUGCAUUGAUUACGUCCCUGCCCUUUGUACACACCGCCCGUCGCACCUACCGAUUGAAUGGUCCGGUGAAUCUUUAGGACUGUGGCUGAGGCCUUGCCUUGUGCGGGUCUGGCCGUGGGAAUUUAGUUAAACCUUACCGUUUAGAGGAAGGUGAAGUCGUAACA